AUGGAAAACAAGAAGCGCCGGCUGACGAGAGGCGAUGAAGAGCAACGCCCUUACAAAAGGGUAGCUAGGCCAAGCGCCUUGAGUCAACUCAGUGAGCAAGCAGUUUCAAGAUUGAGUAGGAGUGUCGUGUCGCUUGCUUCAUUUGAUGGUGAUACCAAGUUACGCGAAUGCACAGGCAUAUGCAUUGAAACCUCAGCUCCUGAUUCUGAAGCUACAAUCCUAACAUCCAGACAGUUGAUUCCACCAACUUGGCCUGCAAGUUUGACGAUUAAAGUACGCCUUUCGAAUAAUCGGAUUGUCACUGGGCGGAUAGAGGAUCCCGGGAUAUAUGUUGAUUUUUUCAUUGUCAACAUCAGGAAUGUGUCUGGAGUUGAUGUCGCAAGUCUUGAUGGUGACAUGCAGUUUGAGCCUCAUACGAAGGUAGUAGCUGUAUGGCGCUGUUUCAAUUCAGGACUUCUAAAGUCCACAAGGGGACUAAAUCUUGCCUCUCCAAGCCUUCUAACCGGUGAGACAAUCGUAAGCACGUGCCGGAUCCGCAAGGCAGGGAUUGGAGGCCCCCUUGUUGAUUUUGAUGGCAACUUUGUUGGGAUGAACUCCUCUCGUACCAAAAUGGAAAAGACUGCCUACGUGCGAAGGGAGCGAAUUCUUCGAUUCUUGUUGCAUAAGGGGAUGGUCAGUGUUAAGGAAGGGGUUGAUGAUGCUACAAGGGCAAAAAUGAACAGUGAGAUGAAAGCAAUUUGGCCAAGUUUGAGCGCUAAGUCCGCAGCGAGAUUGAGUGAAUCCAGAAAAGGCGCCUUGAGUAAGCAAGUACUUUCGAGAUUAAGCAUGAGUGUUGUGGCGCUGGCCUCAUUCGACGGUGAUACCAUGUUACGCGAAUGCACAGGUAUAUGUGUUGAAAGCGCAUGUCCUGAUGCUACGUGUUUCCUGACAUCGAUAAAUUUGAUUCCUUAUACUUGGCCUAGAGAUAAGAUCGCUGAAAGUUUGACGAUAAAAGUACGCCUCCCCGAUCAUCAGGCUGUCACGGGGUGGAUAGAGAAUCCUCGGUUAUAUGUUGAUUAUUUCAUCGUCAAAAUCAAGAACGUUGAUGUUACUGGUGCCGCCCAUCUAAGUCAUCUAAGUCUUGAUCGCGCCAUGCCGUUUGAGCCUUAUAGGAAGGUAGCAGCUGUAUGGCGCUAUUUUGAUUCGGGGGAAUUAAAGACCACAGGCGGAGUAGAUCUUGCCUCUUUAAGCGUUCAUAUCGACGAGAAAAUGUUAAGCACAUGGCGAAUCCACGAGGUCGGGAUUGGAGGUCCCCUUGUUGACUUUGAUGGCAACUUUGUUGGGAUGAACUGCUCUGGCACCAAACAAAGAAAGACCCCCUACGUACAAAGGCCUUCAAUUCGUGAAUUCAUGUUCUUUCGCGGGAUGGUCAGGUGUAUCAUUCUGAAAGUCAAAGAGCAGCUUCUGAGAGUUUUCUACAUUGUGGGGCAGUGUUAA
RNAcentral lists this ribosomal RNA (1476 nucleotides) under Triticum aestivum (bread wheat). Its description in RNAcentral is "partial small subunit ribosomal RNA". Lineage: Eukaryota; Viridiplantae; Streptophyta; Magnoliopsida; Poales; Poaceae. The record is from RNAcentral.